This 468-nucleotide ribosomal RNA is filed under the name uncultured bacterium. RNAcentral's name for it is "partial 16S ribosomal RNA". It matches the Rfam family "Bacterial small subunit ribosomal RNA", at positions 28 to 507 of the family's 1533-position model. The record is from RNAcentral.
GACGAACGCUGGCGGCGUGCUUAACACAUGCAAGUCGAACGGAAAGGCCCUGCUCUUGCGGGGUGCUCGAGUGGCGAACGGGUGAGUAACACGUGAGUAACCUGCCCUUGACUUUGGGAUAACUCCAGGAAACUGGGGCUAAUACCGGAUAUGAGCUCCUGCUGCAUGGUGGGGGUUGGUAAGUUUCGGCGGUUGGGGAUGGAAUCGCGGCUUAUCAGCUUGUUGGUGGGGUAGUGGCUUACCAAGGCUUUGACGGGUAGCCGGCCUGAGAGGGUGACCGGCCACAUUGGGACUGAGAUACGGCCCAGACUCCUACGGGAGGCAGCAGUGGGGAAUAUUGCACAAUGGGCGGAAGCCUGAUGCAGCAACGCCGCGUGCGGGAUGACGGCCUUCGGGUUGUAAACCGCUUUCGCCUGUGACGAAGCGUGAGUGACGGUAAUGGGUAAAGAAGCACCGGCUAACUACGUG